GGCAUGUCCGGUAGAUGUCCAAGGGGUCGUAUGUGGCAAUUUCUUUUCAUCGAUGCAGCCCGACAAGAAAAUCUUUCAAUUGAAUUAACGAAUACAGGUGAUGAGAUUCAAUGACCUACUUACAUGUACUUGAAACCAUAGAGGCUACACACGAUGUCUGAGAUUACCAUCCUCAAUAUGUAUUAUAUUUACAAUGAUUUGCACAAGAAAGAAUGAAAAUAUUGAUCACAUAUUUCUUAUCAGUAUUAUUUCGACUCACCGUACUGAUUCAUUGUCAUUAAAAAAAAACAACCUAAGUCGCAUGUAUUAAAUACAAAUGAUAGAAAUCUUUAAAUCACUCAGAGAUCUCAUCACAUUGAAUAG
Molecule: long non-coding RNA, 363 nt
Organism: Biomphalaria glabrata
Lineage: Eukaryota; Metazoa; Mollusca; Gastropoda; Planorbidae
Exons: 2
Source: RefSeq, a predicted model, not a curated record